AGGCAGUGAAAUGUUAGCUGGUUUAAUUGAUUUCACCAGCUUACUUUUUUACUGCCCUC
Molecule: microRNA precursor, 59 nt
Filed under: Lepisosteus oculatus (spotted gar)
Lineage: Eukaryota; Metazoa; Chordata; Actinopteri; Semionotiformes; Lepisosteidae
Description: Loc-Mir-34-P3c_pre stem-loop
Source: RNAcentral